RNAcentral lists this ribosomal RNA (479 nucleotides) under uncultured Bacteroidota bacterium. RNAcentral describes it as "bacterial SSU rRNA". It matches the Rfam family "Bacterial small subunit ribosomal RNA", at positions 28 to 505 of the family's 1533-position model. Lineage: Bacteria; Pseudomonadati; Bacteroidota. The record is from RNAcentral.
GAUGAACGCUGGCGGCAGGCCUAAUACAUGCAAGUCGAACGGUAGCAGGUUCUUCGGAAUGCUGACGAGUGGCGAAUGGGUGCGUAACGCGUAUAUAACUUGCCUUAAAUUGGAGGAUAGCUCUACGAAAGUGGAAUUAAUACUGCAUGAUACUAUAAGGUCUCCUGGUCUAAUGGUUAAAGUUUCGAUGAUUUAAGAGAGGUAUGCGUAACAUUAGUUAGUUGGUGAGGUAAUGGCUCACCAAGACGAUGAUGUUUAGGGGUUCUGAGAGGAUGAUCCCCCACACCGGAACUGAGACACGGUCCGGACUCCUACGGGAGGCAGCAGUAGGGAAUAUUGGUCAAUGGGCGGAAGCCUGAACCAGCCAUGCCGCGUGCGGGAGGAAGGCGCUCGUCGUCGUAAACCGCUUUUAUAUAGGAAGAAAGAGGUCUUGCGAGGUCAGUUGACGGUACUAUAUGAAUAAGCACCGGCUAACUCCG